RNAcentral lists this ribosomal RNA (400 nucleotides) under uncultured bacterium. Its description in RNAcentral is "bacterial SSU rRNA". It matches the Rfam family "Bacterial small subunit ribosomal RNA", at positions 355 to 772 of the family's 1533-position model. The record is from RNAcentral.
UGGGGAAUAUUGGGCAAUGGGCGCAAGCCUGACCCAGCCAUGCCGCGUGAGUGAUGAAGGCCUUAGGGUUGUAAAGCUCUUUCAGUGGUGAAGAUGAUGACUGUAACCACAAAAGAAGCCCCGGCUAACUUCGUGCCAGCAGCCGCGGUAAUACGAAGGGGGCUAGCGUUGUUCGGAUUUACUGGGCGUAAAGCGCACGCAGGCGGCUUAACAAGUUGGAGGUGAAAUCCCAGGGCUUAACCCUGGAACUGCCUUCAAAACUGUUAAGCUAGAGAUCGAGAGAGGAUAGUGGAAUUCCUAGUGUAGAGGUGAAAUUCGUAGAUAUUAGGAGGAACACCAGUGGCGAAGGCGGCUAUCUGGCUCGAUACUGACGCUCAUGUGCGAAAGCGUGGGGAGCAAA